AACGAACGCUGGCGGCAUGCCUAACACAUGCAAGUCGAACGAGACCUUCGGGUCUAGCGGCGCACGGGUGCGUAACGCGUGGGAACCUGCCCUUAGGUUCGGAAUAACUCCCCGAAAGGGGUGCUAAUACCGGAUAAUGUCUUCGGACCAAAGAUUUAUCGCCUUUGGAUGGGCCCGCGUUGGAUUAGCUAGUUGGUAGGGUAAAAGCCUACCAAGGCGACGAUCCAUAGCUGGUCUGAGAGGAUGAUCAGCCACACUGGGACUGAGACACGGCCCAGACUCCUACGGGAGGCAGCAGUGGGGAAUAUUGGACAAUGGGCGAAAGCCUGAUCCAGCAAUGCCGCGUGAGUGAUGAAGGCCUUAGAGUUGUAAAGCUCUUUUACCCGGGAUGAUAAUGACAGUACCGGGAGAAUAAGCUCCGGCUAACUCCGUG
This 433-nucleotide ribosomal RNA is filed under the name uncultured bacterium. RNAcentral's name for it is "partial 16S ribosomal RNA". It matches the Rfam family "Bacterial small subunit ribosomal RNA", at positions 29 to 507 of the family's 1533-position model. The record is from RNAcentral.